AAAGGAAUUGACGGGGGCCCGCACAAGCGGAGGAGCAUGUGGUUUAAUUCGAUGAUACGCGAGGAACCUUACCUAGGUUUGAAAGACGUAUGCUUUAUUUAGAGAUAGAUAUUUCCGUUUACGGACAUACGUUUAGGUGCUGCAUGGCUGUCGUCAGCUCGUGCCGUGAGGUGUUUGGUUAAGUCCAGCAACGAGCGCAACCCUCAUUAUUAGUUACCAUCGAUUCAAGUCGGGGACUCUAAUAAAACUGCCAGCGUAAGCUGUGAGGAAGGUGGGGAUGACGUCAAGUCAGCACGGCCCUUACGUCUAGGGCUACACACGUGCUACAAUGGUUGGUACAGAGGGCUGCUACAUAGUGAUAUGAUGCUAAUCUCUAAAUCCAAUCUCAGUUCGGAUUGAAGUCUGCAACUCGACUUCAUGAAGUCGGAUUCGCUAGUAAUCGCGUAUCAGCAACGACGCGGUGAAUACGUUCCCGGGCCUUGUACACACCGCCCGU
RNAcentral lists this ribosomal RNA (496 nucleotides) under uncultured bacterium. RNAcentral describes it as "bacterial SSU rRNA". It matches the Rfam family "Bacterial small subunit ribosomal RNA", at positions 903 to 1397 of the family's 1533-position model. The record is from RNAcentral.